Molecule: ribosomal RNA, 481 nt
Filed under: uncultured bacterium
Lineage: Bacteria
Description: partial 16S ribosomal RNA
Rfam family: Bacterial small subunit ribosomal RNA
Source: RNAcentral
GACGAACGCUGGCGGCGUGCUUAACACAUGCAAGUCGAGCGGAAAGGCCACUUCGGUGGUACUCGAGCGGCGAACGGGUGAGUAACACGUGAGUAAUCUGCCCCUGGCUUUGGGAUAACCACCGGAAACGGUGAUUAAUACCGGAUACGACCACUUCUCGCAUGGGAUGGUGGUGGAAAGUUUUUUCGGCCAGGGAUGUGCUCGCGGCCUAUCAGCUUGAUGGUGAGGUAAUGGCUCGCCAUGGCUUCGACGGGUAGCCGGCCUGAGAGGGUGACCGGUCACGCUGGGACUGAGACACGGCCCAGACUCCUACGGGAGGCAGCAGUGGGGAAUAUUGGACAAUGGGCGGAAGCCUGAUCCUGCAACGCCGCGUGAGGGAUGACGGCCUUCGGGUUGUAAACCUCUUUCAGCAGGGACGAAGCGCAAGUGACGGUACCUGCAGAAGAAGCACCGGCCAACUACGUGCCAGCAGCCGCAGUAA